UCCGGCGGAGCUCUUGCUUCAGCAGAUCCCUCUCUUUGCGAAUUCCCUGCAACACAGUGCGAUUCUCCUGAGCUCGACGCACCAGGACCCUUUGCUGAAAAUGUAAAUGAAAAGAACGCCAGCUGAGGCACAGCUCACCCAUUGUGAGGGAGACGUGAUCACACAUACCCAGCAGCUGGCCAAAACACACUGAGCCUCCAUCUUUGUCUAUCCCCAACUGUUCCAUCCUGAAGGCUCCUCGUACCAGCUUGACUCCCAGACAGAAACCCUCAUUCUUGGACAGAAGCAGACCUUCUAAGAGGAGGGACCUGGACUCCUGAAAGACAGAAAUGUUAAGGGGAGUAUUGAUGAUGUCUUGGUUUAACAAAAUACUUAGUCUCACAUUCAGCACAAUGUAAAGAAAUGCUCUGAUUUCCAGGAAUUAGAAUAUUAGCCUUCAGGUAGCACUGAUAUGUGUUCCAAAUCCAGGCGCCAUCUUUGUUAAACUUCUUCAUCAUCGCCGUGGUGACAAGAGAGAGGGCGGGGUUCAUGUAGGUGUACUCUGCAUCGACCAGGACUCGGACUUUGUUUACACUUGCCUAAAAAAAAAAUACACAAUCAGUCUUUAAAAUAUAUUUGUCACUGCACUAAAACUACAGCAUUAAAUCUAAAUUCAAUUCGGAGAUUGAAAAUACUUUGAUGCAGGUGUCCGAUGUAAUAAAAUUUUCCCAUGAUCCUUCACGUCUGUACCUCUCCUAUCUUGUUAAGGCGCUGCAGGCCACAGAGGAAGUGUGCAAUUUCAUUUCCAUCUAAACCAGGGAAGUUGAUUUGCUGAAAUAGGUAAUUUCAGGUGAAGGUCAAAUGUCUUUUAAAAUCACUCAUCCUCAUCAAUACUGUAAAUAUAUAUAUGAAUUGGGUAGAAGGAAGACAUCUAAUAAGAGUUAUUUUGGUGAACUGUGCACAUACCUCUCCAUCCAGUGCUCUAACUAGGAGAUUGAGGUCAUAUGGUUGUUGUGAAAUGAGGGUUGUCAGUUUCACCUUGAUACAGGAAGGACAGAUUCACACAUAUGCAAAUUUAGACAGAGUAAAACAAGAGCAGCUGUGGGAAAAUAAGGUUAUAUGAAUAGCCUUGUCUAUUCAUUUAAAAGAAACCUUCAACAGCAACAUAUCAAACACUAAAACGUGUGUUCAUAUCCCCCCUAUUUAAACAUCACACAGCCAAUAUUUGACUUAGGUCCACCAUCCAGUGUGUCAGGGUUCACAUAUGGCCUCAAAAACCUGGAUGUUUUUCUCAACUGGGUUUCGUUAUAACAAAAAUGCACAGAAAAUCAAUAAAAUACACGGGCAAAUACUAUUGGUGUCCCAGAAAAUCUAAUGGUAAUGCCCUCCUUUAUUGGAAAAUUGAAAGUCUUAUCAGGCAUUUCUUCCAUAAUAACAUCUUAUUUACAGUAAAUAUUAAGCAG
This is a long non-coding RNA of Monopterus albus (swamp eel), 1442 nucleotides long. RefSeq lists it as uncharacterized. The record is from RefSeq and is a predicted model, not a curated record. The transcript is spliced from 3 exons. NCBI's taxonomy places the organism in Eukaryota, Metazoa, Chordata, Actinopteri, Synbranchiformes, Synbranchidae.